This 1439-nucleotide long non-coding RNA is filed under the name Coffea arabica (coffee). RNAcentral's name for it is "long non-coding RNA (CARA_LNC000119)". Lineage: Eukaryota; Viridiplantae; Streptophyta; Magnoliopsida; Gentianales; Rubiaceae. The record is from RNAcentral.
UAACUUCGGCUUUUGUGGAAUUAUCGGCCAAUGCUAUUGAUAUGGUAGCAAAUACAACUCUAAUGCAACUUUUCAAAGAAUAGGCUUGACAAUAUGCAAUCAUAACUGUGCCACUUGUCGCGCCCCAUUUUUUAUAAGAAAAAUAAAUGGUUUAAAAAAAGUGAAUUUUGAUUUAAAAAGAAAAUGAAGAAAAGUAUGGGUCUAAUGGGACAUGAAAAUGCGACGAUUUGACCCAAAAUAUAGUUUAAAAAGGGUUUAUUAAAUGAAAAAUGGAGUCGCCACUUGGUAUAGAGUUAAGGUGUACCAAGUCACCUAAAAAUGAAAAUUUAUAAGAGAAAAAUGGAAAAAAACCCCUUUUAAACGACUCCAAAUCUACGUAAACCAACGAAAAAGGUUCGGGAGUCACAUUUGACGAAGGGGAAGGCAAGGAUAAAAAUCCAAGACACCCCUUCGACCUAACCAAGGCUAGUUGCGUGAUUUAGUCAAAGAUUUUCUUGUUUUAACCAAAAAAUUAUCACAUUUGGAUGUACUAUAUGAAUGCAAACCUUAAACCUAGGGGGAUGUCGGGGGGCAAAAUUUCUCUUCAAAGCUUGAAUGGUGCCAAUCACAUUAAUUGUGACGCCCAAUAAUGACUCUUUGGAGAGGUCACGAAUAAUGCAAGUCAUGAGACUCGAAAGAAAGGAAAAGUGAAGAAUAUAAUAAUAUGCAAAUGCGUAUGACCUAAAGGAAUGCAUCAUAAUGGGUGCGGGGACUUACACUUGUGACUUUCAAUGUUCCCUUUAAUAGAGGGAAUACGAGCGUGCUAAGACUAGAAAAAGCCAAACUCGUCCAUAUCCCAUAUCCAAGGGAUUUUUCCUAAUCUAAUCAAGCAAAUGUACUAGCCUAGGUCUAAUGCUUAGAUGAAAUGCAAGUCUAAUGUCAUGGUUCAUACAAAGGGGUAAGUAAUAUACAAAUAAGGGAAAAUACGGGAAAAGGGAUAUACGUAUAAGGAGGGAUAUCAUGCAAAAAUGAUAAAAGACCCUAAAAAGUGAAAAAUAUGCAUGAGAAUGUAAUGUAGUCAUGCAAACAUGAUCUAGCGUCGGAGGUUCCUAAGGGUCUAGCGUUGGACUAGCCCAUAUCUAUGAAUUUCUACUAGCAUUGGACUAGUGGAAAAUCGGAAUGAAGGGCCACAACUAGCGUUGGACUAGUGUGAUGACGUCACACAUUCAUUACAAUCAAAUAAAUCAUGUAAAGUCUAAUAAAGCAAAUAAACACGUAAAUCACAUAUAGCACAUAACACAUAAGCAUGGUGUCUAGAUGCAAGACCCUAGAAAAGCGAGUAACACAUAACACAUAGGCAUGCAAAAACACACAAGGCAAAUAAAGCAAAUAAAACCCUAACUAUUACAUUCGGGGAACCCUACUACAAUCUAAAAGGGGAAAUAAAAUAAAUAAUAAAA